Molecule: long non-coding RNA, 1940 nt
Filed under: Phasianus colchicus (ring-necked pheasant)
Lineage: Eukaryota; Metazoa; Chordata; Aves; Galliformes; Phasianidae
Description: lncRNA (ENSPCLG00000004938.1)
Source: RNAcentral
AAAAAACAAAGUAAAAAUUUUCCUGAAGCCCAAUUGCAAGAUGCCCUGUGUACCCAUGAACUGAAAAUUUGUAAUAUAGCUUUCCUUGUUUCUAGGCUGUAGUAUGCACAGAACAUAGGAUGGUUCACUGUGAUGUUCAUACCAUUCAGAAUUAGUAAUCUAAUUUGCCCAGGACUUGAUCCCAGGCAGCUGAAAAUAGUGCUGCCCUAUUUUUUUCAAGAGGUUUAAGCACCUAAUUCUUAUGAAUUUCAGUGAGAUCCAUAUGCAUGGGUCCUCAGAUCAUAUUUACUUCCACUUGUAAAAAUGUGAGGUUGUAUAAUAGAAGCUCUCUAAGCCCUGUGUUAGCAGACAUUCUGGGUACCCACUGCAGCUCACUGAGUUAAUUAAUGCGUUUAAGUGACCUACUGUAAUGUCUUCAUCUGUCAGAACCUGGAGACAGGGUAGCUAAGAGACCAUUUUGGAGUAUUCUGAGAUCACAGCAAUCUGAUGUUUAAGGAGGUUAAUGUAAUACUCACAGGGGCCUGAUGGAAGAGUUCACAAAACAGAUGAACCCACCUGAAUUCUGAGAGUUUGAGCAGGCGGAUUCUUAACCCGUAUUCAGUACAGUGUUUCUCUUCUUUAAAUUAAAGGGAGGAGAUUACCAGGAGGUAACUAUAAUAGACAGCUCUUUUCUGACUAAUGUUCUUGUCUGCAUCUUCUGGGUUUAGGAUGGCUGAUAACAUAACGAUGUCAUGGCCAAUGAGAAAAAUCAACUUGGAGGACAAAACUCACCUCCUCACUAACUCCAGUAGACCCCUGCAGGUUGACAUUUCAUCCAGUAGGGAGAAGAAUCUGAACUGUUAUAAAGAGCCAAAAGAGUGGACCUCAGUCAGCCUUCAUCUUUCCAGCACAAGCAACAAUUUAUAUAUUUUUUUUCUACCACUGAAACAAUUCACAGGAAAAUGAUCAUCAGAAUGAGAAUUGUUAACUGAUUAGAUUAUUGUUGGCAUUCAGUACAAGAACACAGCCAAGUGCUCAAGGGUAAGUAUUAUUUUCAUCUGGUGAUGAAGCUAAGAAGGGAUUCUGCACCCAAUUCCCUGUACAUUAAUGAUGUGAAGAUAUUUGGGCUGGGUUGCAUUGUUUUCCCCUUUCUUUCAAAGUGAGCCACAGAGCUCCCUGCUGCCAGGAAGUGUUAUUUAAGAAUAUGAGUUUCUUUUGUAAAGGGAAAGGCAUAAUUAGAUGUUAAGAGCUGAUUAUUGUAUUGUUCUCCAAACAGUUUUGCAAGAGGAACUGCAUUUGAAGAAAGAAGGGAAAGUAUGUAUUGUGCUUGGAAAGUGAGAGGUAUCUGGCUUAAAUAUUCUUUGUCUCCACAUCUGAAAAUUUUUCACAAGAGAUGAGAAGUAAACCAACUUUCCACUGCACUCUAGAAAUACAGCUUUUGCUGCAAGCAGCCCACUUAUUUACAGUACCUGUUGGUGGAACCUGGCACUAGAGUUCACACUUAGAGCACCAACAAGACCUCCAAUCUCUUCAAAUAGAAUCACUUGAAACAGAAAACUAUAUAUAUAUAUUUUUUAAGAGUUUGAAACAAGCUAAACUUCAAUCUGCAGACUUCUUUUUACUACUGUAUCCCCAGGGAGCAGUUGUACCUCAUGCUCCUCCCUUAGGACUCAAAAUCAAAAUAUUUCUUUUUCUGUCAGGCCGCUCACACUGAGAAUUCUGUAAGCUGUAAGCCUGGACGAGUAUAUAUUCAGUUUAUCCAAACUCAAUAAGAGAUUAAGUGUAGGAGAUAGCUUAGGUGUGAGACCUUGUUGCACCUAGGAGAGACCUGGGCUAUAAGAAACAUCCACUAAGUGCUUCUCUAUUUUGUGCCAUACCACAGAGGACAUACACUGUUCCAGUUUCUAUCCUCCCAAGAUAUUUGAAAUAAAGUUGUCAUACCUCUUGUUCUCUGGAGGCUC